AGACCGGCGCACGGGUGCGUAACGCGUAUGCAAUCUACCUUUUACAGAGGGAUAGCCCAGAGAAAUUUGGAUUAAUACCUCAUAGUAUAUAGCCCUGGCAUCAGGAUUAUAUUAAAGUCACAACGGUAAAAGAUGAGCAUGCGUCCCAUUAGCUAGUUGGUAAGGUAACGGCUUACCAAGGCUACGAUGGGUAGGGGUCCUGAGAGGGAGAUCCCCCACACUGGUACUGAGACACGGACCAGACUCCUACGGGAGGCAGCAGUGAGGAAUAUUGGACAAUGGGCGCAAGCCUGAUCCAGCCAUGCCGCGUGCAGGAUGACGGUCCUAGGGAUUGUAAACUGCUUUUAUACGAGAAGAAACACUCCUUCGUGAAGGAGCUUGACGGUAUCGUAAGAAUAAGGAUCGGCUAACUCCGUGCCAGCAGCCGCGGUAAUACGGAGGAUCCAAGCGUUAUCCGGAAUCAUUGGGUUUAAAGGGUCCGUAGGCGGUUUAAUAAGUCAGUGGUGAAAGCCCAUCGCUCAACGGUGGAACGGCCAUUGAUACUGUUAGACUUGAAUUAUUAGGAAGUAACUAGAAUAUGUAGUGUAGCGGUGAAAUGCUUAGAGAUUACAUGGAAUACCAAUUGCGAAGGCUGGUUACUACUAUUUGAUUGACGCUGAUG
Molecule: ribosomal RNA, 661 nt
Filed under: uncultured bacterium
Lineage: Bacteria
Description: bacterial SSU rRNA
Rfam family: Bacterial small subunit ribosomal RNA
Source: RNAcentral